Molecule: ribosomal RNA, 423 nt
Filed under: Salmonella enterica subsp. enterica serovar Tennessee
Lineage: Bacteria; Pseudomonadati; Pseudomonadota; Gammaproteobacteria; Enterobacterales; Enterobacteriaceae
Also listed under: 2 other names
Description: bacterial LSU rRNA
Rfam family: Bacterial large subunit ribosomal RNA
Source: RNAcentral
GAAUGGGGAAACCCAGUGUGAUUCGUCACACUAUCAUUAACUGAAUCCAUAGGUUAAUGAGGCGAACCGGGGGAACUGAAACAUCUAAGUACCCCGAGGAAAAGAAAUCAACCGAGAUUCCCCCAGUAGCGGCGAGCGAACGGGGAGGAGCCCAGAGCCUGAAUCAGCAUGUGUGUUAGUGGAAGCGUCUGGAAAGGCGCGCGAUACAGGGUGACAGCCCCGUACACAAAAGCGCAUGUGCUGUGAGCUCGAUGAGUAGGGCGGGACACGUGGUAUCCUGUCUGAAUAUGGGGGGACCAUCCUCCAAGGCUAAAUACUCCUGACUGACCGAUAGUGAACCAGUACCGUGAGGGAAAGGCGAAAAGAACCCCGGCGAGGGGAGUGAAAAAGAACCUGAAACCGUGUACGUACAAGCAGUGGGAG